Molecule: ribosomal RNA, 308 nt
Filed under: uncultured Sphingobacteriales bacterium
Lineage: Bacteria; Pseudomonadati; Bacteroidota; Sphingobacteriia; Sphingobacteriales
Description: bacterial SSU rRNA
Rfam family: Bacterial small subunit ribosomal RNA
Source: RNAcentral
UCGGGUUAAGUCCCAUAACGAGCGCAACCCUUAUCGUUAGUUGCCAUCUGGUAAUGCAGGGGACUCUAGCGAAACUGCCACCGUAAGGUGAGAGGAAGGUGGGGAUGACGUCAAAUCAGCACGGCCCUUAUGUCCAGGGCUACACACGUGUUACAAUGGUCGGUACAGAGGGCAGCUACCUGGUGACAGGAUGCUAAUCUCGAAAACCAGUCUCAGUUCGGAUCGAAGUCUGCAACUCGACUUCGUGAAGCUGGAUUCGCUAGUAAUCGCGCAUCAGCUAUGGCGCGGUGAAUACGUUCCCGGGCCUU